GUUCAGUUAGUCCGAUAUGGCAAGUUUUGGGUCCAUUUCUGCCCAAUUUUCGAUGUUCAGUUUUUAUGAUUUGUAUCAGACGGGCCCAAAGAAAAGGGGUAGGCCCGCACUAUUCAUCAAAUAUACUCCGAAAAUAAAACGGGAGAGAUGCGUGCUUUACAAAUGUGAGGCGGUCAGAUUUGAGCUAAUUGGGCAGCAAAAGACAAAUUUGCCCUCUGCAAAAUUUGAAUCCCCCAAAUCGUGAAUUGCAGCUCUCAUUUUCUACCUCUACGUGCCCUAUUCGGUGAGACGCCGCUCCACCAAUUUCACCACUCUCCAAGCACAGUGUAGAACAUCCGUCCACCGGAAUUGGCGAGUUUGAUUGGUCGCGGCAGUUCCCAGAGCCACCGUCGGAUAUUGAAGGCAUUAUUUUGCAGGAAAGAGACAUGUCGACUGCUUCUUCAGGAGGCAGGAUGAGCUCUCCGACGAUUAACUAUGCAAGGCUCCACAUGUUGCUGGAGGAUAUAAUGCUUGUCUAUCAUGUUGAGACCACCAUCCUCGUACAACGAUAUAAAAGCGCACGAACACGAAGAGCAAAACGUAUAAUUGUUCAGAACGCCAGGCGAUAUAGCGUCUUGAAUAAAAUACCCUCUCAAUUGGAAUACCUAGACCGUCUAGUGAACUUGACGGAUGCCGACUGCAUCGCAAAUCUGCCUAUGGAUCGUAACACAUUCGGGAGGUUGUGCCGAAUUCUAGUUGAACGAGGAGGUUUGCGCCCUGGUAGGUGUCUUGGUGUCGAAGAAAUGGUGGCAAUCUUUGUUGGGGUCCUAUCACACCAUAAAAAGAAUCGGAUAGUAGGUUUCCAUUUCAAAAGGUCAGGUGCGACAGUGUCAUAUCACGUCAAUAAUGUACUUGGUGCGGU
Salvia splendens (bonfire salvia) is the source of this 901-nucleotide long non-coding RNA. RefSeq lists it as uncharacterized. Lineage: Eukaryota; Viridiplantae; Streptophyta; Magnoliopsida; Lamiales; Lamiaceae. The transcript is spliced from 3 exons. The record is from RefSeq and is a predicted model, not a curated record.